Long non-coding RNA from Hippocampus comes (tiger tail seahorse), 404 nucleotides. RefSeq lists it as uncharacterized. The record is from RefSeq and is a predicted model, not a curated record. The transcript is spliced from 4 exons. Lineage: Eukaryota; Metazoa; Chordata; Actinopteri; Syngnathiformes; Syngnathidae.
CUUGAGAAAAGCAAGAGUGUCAGGACACGAAGGGGCGGAUGGAGACAUGCGUUGAACCGAAGGGAUGAUUGUUUCCUGGAUCAGCUGUGAAGAAACUUCAUCAAUCAACUGCACUUCCAUUUGCCUCGAUUGCGUCAAGACUUCAAUGACUUGAUUAUUAAAGCCACACCGGGGCUACGGCACAGAGCAAGGCCUGGCUUUGAGCCACAGACUCCCUGAGUGUGGGCUUGCGCUCGAGGCUUCUGGCCACGGGCGACCUAUCAGUCAGAUGUCAUGCUGUAACAAGAUCCCUUGGGCCGCUUGGCAGCACUAUUCCUUGGGGAUUGAGAUGUAUUUCAGCUAUAAAGACGACAACAAAUGCAUAAAACCCAAUUAACAGACAGAACCAACAGGAAACAAGAACA